GGUCCGCCUGCCCACUGACUAUAUGUUCAACGGCCGCGGUAUUUUAACCGUGCGAAGGUAGCGUAAUAACUUGUCUUUUAAAUGGGGACUAGUAUGAAUGGCAUCACGAGGGCUUAACUGUCUCCUUUUUUAGGUCAAUGAAAUUGAUCUUCCCGUGCAAAAGCGGGGAUACACACAUAAGACGAGAAGACCCUGUGGAGCUUAAGACAUGCACAGAUCACGUUAAGCACACCUUAAUAAGGAGCCAAACUAAAAGAACCCUGCUCGCACGUCUUGGGUUGGGGCGACCGCGGAGAAUAGACGAACCUCCCCUCCGUGUGGAACGAGGAUAUCUACCCCCCUUUUCUUUAUCCUAUCCUCUAAACUGAGAGUAACAACUCAAGGCAACAGAACUUUCUGACCUCUACGAUCCGGCACACAGCCGAUUAGCGGACCAAGUUACCCCAGGGAUAACAGCGCAAUCCCCUUUUAGAGCCCAUAUCGACAAGGGGGUUUACGACCUCGAUGUUGGAUCAGGACAUCCUAGCGGCGCAACUGUUGCUAAGGGUUCGUUUGUUCAACGAUUAAAGUCCUACGUGAUC
This 581-nucleotide ribosomal RNA is filed under the name Rogadius patriciae (black-banded flathead). RNAcentral describes it as "partial 16S ribosomal RNA". It matches the Rfam family "Bacterial large subunit ribosomal RNA", at positions 1852 to 2605 of the family's 2925-position model. The record is from RNAcentral. Lineage: Eukaryota; Metazoa; Chordata; Actinopteri; Perciformes; Platycephalidae.